GCUGGAGGUUCCUAUCUAUCUGUGGCCUUCUGAAGCCACAAGGUUCCAAGGCUGGAAACAUGAAGACCCAUUUCCCCUACACAUCCCACGGUGAGGGAAGCAACAUGGUCAUACAUCGCCCCUUUUUUUCCCCAAAUUUCCAUUUCAUUGCUAUCACCUGGUGCUGCUGCAGCAAUAGAUUGGGCAAGCAGCAAUGGUAUGGAAGCCUCCUUCAAGUGCUCUGGGGGAGGAAAAAAAGCACCUUUUUGGAAAUUGCAUCAUCUGUCACAUUGCAGCAGGCAGGGCUGAGAGCACAGGAAUGGCAGCAGCCAGGCUCCCCUGGUCGAUACAAAAGCUCAAAUUGCAGGAAGAGUUAUCCCCAGACAGACCUUCCCUGGCACGGUCCCCCCCAGGGCUCUGUUCUCCUUUGUUGGUGGUUGGUGGCACUUUUGAUCACAACCCAAAGUGGACAGGUUUCUGCUUUGAGCUACAUGGAUGGAGCAGGGAAAGCCAUCGCUUCCACCGCAACUUCUGGAAAACGCUUGUUGGAAUUUUUAUUGCUACCUCAAACUGGACAAGACCCAUCCCAUGAAUAUUUUUUUUUGAAAGUGGAAAUCCUUUACCUUUCAUGUUUGUUAUGGGAAAAAAUCAAAGUGUUUUUUUUUUGCCAAGAAAAGGUUCUUUUCUCUCUGCUACGCGUCCUCUGCUGGAAGAACUUUGAGCAGAAACUCUUCAACGUGCUCCUGCUGCGGAUACCCUCCUGUACAGAGCACGUCUGCUACAAGCAGCUGGAUUAGCUCCAGAAUUCUCUCCCCGUCUAUGCUUGACGGCAGGGAAAAAACUGGGAUCACAGAAUCACAGAAUGGCUUUGGUUGGGAGGGACCUUAAUGAUCAUUGAGUGCCAACCUCUCUGCCAUGGCAGGGUUGCCAGCCACCAGAUAACCACUGGAUCUUCCCUUCCCAAACUCUCAGCAGAUGCCACAUCCCCUGGCACUGCUCAAUAUUACCCAAAGCAAAGGCUGAUGAAGGCAAAGUGAAGUCACCAGACUUGGAGACAGAUUGUGGGAAUGGAGGAGAUAAAUCCCGAGCACACAGCCUGCAUGGGGAGAGGAAGACAAAUACUGAAAUAAAUAUGAGAAGAAGACAAAUUUGGGCUACAGGGAGCGGGUGAGCCAGAGAGAGAGAGGAAAUUGCACUAAAAUAGACGAGGUUUCCUGGAGACAAAGGUAAAAUUGGGAAAAAUGAGAUCUAAACUGAAGGGGGAUAAAUCACAAGGGUAGCAAUGUCUGAAAAUUAUUGGGAAUGAAGCCUUCCUGGUAAGUGAGACAUCCCCAGCAAGACAGAUCUGCUGCGAGCAACAAAUACAGCUGCGGUGACAAGGACAAAGCCAAGCAGGGAACGGGGUGGUGAGCUCUGCCUCCUCCCAGAGGGCUCUCUCUGGCUGCAUCCCAUGUGCUUCAGGCUGCAGUUAUCUCCCCAGAGUAUAAACUGAGGAGUGAAAUGAUUUUAUGAUGGGGAGUGGGUAUUCUCAAGUCUCCGAAAUGUCCAUAUCCUCCAUUUCUGCAAAGAAACGCCUUAUCCUGUGUGCUGGGGCAGCAUUCAACAGGAAAACAUACGUGCUUGUAAAUUCAGAGCUGUUCCAG
Long non-coding RNA from Numida meleagris (helmeted guineafowl), 1622 nucleotides. RefSeq lists it as uncharacterized. Lineage: Eukaryota; Metazoa; Chordata; Aves; Galliformes; Numididae. The record is from RefSeq and is a predicted model, not a curated record. The transcript is spliced from 3 exons.